Pogona vitticeps (central bearded dragon) is the source of this 1710-nucleotide non-coding RNA. NCBI's taxonomy places the organism in Eukaryota, Metazoa, Chordata, Lepidosauria, Squamata, Agamidae. The record is from RefSeq and is a predicted model, not a curated record.
UAUAAUUCUAUGCAAAUAAUACAAAAAUAUAUAAAUAAAAACCACACCAUUUUGAUUUCUCAUUCAAAGGAAACAAAAAACAAAACAAAACCAUGACAUUGCCUCUGGAUUUCUUACCCUAUCUGACAAAAUAUGGAAUGCAUAGUAGUAUACGCAUACAUUUCAUGGCUUUUCAAGUAGAGUAUAGAACGUAAGAAAUUUCAAACAUGCUCCCAAGUUAAGAAAAAAGGCCUGAAGGUCAUCUGAGAUCUUUCAAAUGGGCUCCUGAUUGGCAAGAAGAGAGCUGAAGGUUGUUGAAACUGGGUGUUAUAGCAACUGACUCAUAUGAGUUAUCUAGCAGUUUAGAAUGCUUCCAACUGCCUGGUUCCAGAAUACCUACCUCCACAGCCAUUGGCUAUGCUGAUGGGGCUGAUGGCAGUUUCUAGGGCAACACAGUUGGAGAGCCAAACUUUCCCCACAUAUCCCUGAUAUAUAUUGUCUCCUGUUUCUGCCUGGAAAGAGGCAACAGCUGCAGCUUGAUCUUCUUAACAGCAUCAAGAACAGCAUCGAGGCUCACUUUGUCUCCAAAUUCCUUCUCACGAUGCUCCAAGAGAACACCCUAAAAUGGAAGGAGAAAUGGCAAAUAUUCAAUAAUACCUGCUUUCCAGGACCAACCACAAAAACUCCUCCCAGGACAAAGCCUUCUCCAUCCAAGUUUCCUGUAUAUCCACUCUUCCAGGCACGGAAGAAAUUCCUCCAGACGCUGCAGCGGAUAAAGCCCAUGAACAACAUUUUUCUUUUCUGAGGCCCAUAGAAUUGUUUCUGAAGAAGAAGGUGUGGUUUGCAGACGAGUGUUUUGUGGAUGUUCAGAGGCCCAGUAAAUUCUUCAUAGCUGUAGGCCUAAAAGUCCAAUUCACGUGGUCAACCAGAUGCUUCCGAGAACCCACAAGAAGGACAAGAGUGGAACAGCAUCCUCUCAUUCACAUUCUGUAGCACUUAAUAUUGAGAGGCAGGCAGCUCCAGAAAGUGGAAGGAACAGACAGCCAUUUUGACUACUAGCCACAGACAGACUGACCCUCCAUAAAUUGUCUACACCCCUCUGAAAAACUUUUUUAAUUCCAGUGGGCAGCAGAAGCAGUUUCUAGCAAGUAUACCUUAGCAUUGAGAAAGAAUUUAACUGCUGCAGGUCUGAGAGACAGAGAUUGUCUCUCUGAAAACAGCAGCAUACUGCAUCUUGAACAAAAACGUAAGGAAAAGCAAAACAUUAUAACACCAUUAAGAUGAACACAUUCAUUACAGCAUGAGCUUUCAUGAACGACAACUGCUGAAAUCCUGUUGGUGUAGCUACAUGUUUGCAAGGCGGAUGGCAUCAUCAGCUGCAGCCUUUUAUCGCUAAGUAAAAGUAUCCAAUUCCCAUCCCUAAGGUUCCGAGGCUCCCUUUUGUCCUAGAGAAGCCGUCGGGGUGGGGCUGGGGGCUCAUGAUGGCAGAGGAAGUCUUUAAUAUUCAAAAAUCACUGCCGCCAGUCCCACCGUCCUGAUUUCAGCCAAUAUAUCCGAAGAAGCAGGUUAUACUCCGUGAAAGCUCACUCCGAAAUCAAUUUGCUCAUCCAAAGGUGCCACUGCUGCGCUCUCAUUUCUCUUUUCUCCUUAUAAAAGAAAAGCUAGUUCACCUCACCGCCUGUUCUCCAGAAAUACUCAUAAAAGACACCCAAGCUACCUCUCUGCACAAAA